UACGUAGGUGGCUAGCGUUGUCCGGAUUUACUGGGCGUAAAGAGCGCGCAGGCGGUCGUUCAAGUCGAGUGUGAAAGUCCCCGGCUCAACUGGGGAGGGUCACUCGAUACUGAUCGACUCGAAGGCAGGACAGGGAAGCGGAAUUCCCGGUGUAGUGGUGAAAUGCGUAGAUAUCGGGAGGAACACCAGUGGCGAAGGCGGCUUUCUGGCCUGCUCUUGACGCUGAGGCGCGAAAGCUAGGGUAGCAAACGGG
RNAcentral lists this ribosomal RNA (253 nucleotides) under uncultured bacterium. RNAcentral's name for it is "partial 16S ribosomal RNA". It matches the Rfam family "Bacterial small subunit ribosomal RNA", at positions 524 to 776 of the family's 1533-position model. The record is from RNAcentral.